RNAcentral lists this ribosomal RNA (253 nucleotides) under uncultured bacterium. RNAcentral describes it as "partial 16S ribosomal RNA". It matches the Rfam family "Bacterial small subunit ribosomal RNA", at positions 524 to 776 of the family's 1533-position model. The record is from RNAcentral.
UACGUAGGGUGCGAGCGUUAAUCGGAAUUACUGGGCGUAAAGCGUGCGCAGGCGGUUGAUUAAGUCUGAUGUGAAAGCCCCGGGCUCAACCUGGGAAUGGCAUUGGAAACUGGUCGGCUUGAGUAUGGCAGAGGGGGGUGGAACUCCACGUGUAGCAGUGAAAUGCGUAGAGAUGUGGAAGAACACCGAUGGCGAAGGCAGCCCCCUGGGUCAAUACUGACGCUCAGGCACGAAAGCGUGGGGAGCAAACAGG